AACAAAUAAAAUGAGACGUGAAUAGUAACUGUAUGAUGAUUAUU
This 44-nucleotide non-coding RNA is filed under the name Trypanosoma brucei brucei. The record is from RNAcentral. Lineage: Eukaryota; Euglenozoa; Kinetoplastea; Trypanosomatida; Trypanosomatidae.